RNAcentral lists this microRNA precursor (205 nucleotides) under Oryza nivara. RNAcentral describes it as "MIR812 microRNA precursor family". It matches the Rfam family "MIR812 microRNA precursor family". The record is from Rfam by way of RNAcentral. Lineage: Eukaryota; Viridiplantae; Streptophyta; Magnoliopsida; Poales; Poaceae.
AAAAAAACAAACCUUAGGACUCCGUGUUCAACGUUUAACCGUCCGUCUUAUUUAAAAAAAUUGUUAAAAAAAUUAAAAAGACAAGUCACGUAUAAAAUAUUAAUCAUGUUUUAUCAUCUAACAACAAUGAAAAUAUUAAUUAUAAAAAUUUUUAUAUAAGACAGAUAGUCAACGUUGGGUAUGGAAACCCAGAGUUUGUUUUUUU